AGUCUGACGGAGCAACGCCGCGUGAGCGAUGAAGGCCUUCGGGUCGUAAAGCUCUGUUGUUAGGGAAGAACAAGUACCGUACUAACAGCUCGGACCUUGGCCGGACCCAAACCAAAAGCCCACGGCUAAUACCUGGCCACCACCCCCGGAAUUCCUUAGUGGGCAGCCUUUUCCCGGAUUAUUGGGCCUUAAACCCCCCCCAGGCGGUUCUUUAAUUCGAAGGUGAAACCCCCCGGUCCACCCGGGAAGGUCCUUGGAAAACUGGGAAAUUUGAUUCCAAAAAAGAAAAGGGAAUUCCCCGUGGUACCGUGAAAUUCCUUAAAAUUUGGAAGAACCCCAAUGGGCAAAGGCGCUUUUUGGGCCGGUACUGGACCCUAAGGCCCAAAACCUGG
RNAcentral lists this ribosomal RNA (392 nucleotides) under uncultured bacterium. RNAcentral's name for it is "partial 16S ribosomal RNA". It matches the Rfam family "Bacterial small subunit ribosomal RNA", at positions 380 to 764 of the family's 1533-position model. The record is from RNAcentral.